RNAcentral lists this ribosomal RNA (478 nucleotides) under uncultured bacterium. RNAcentral describes it as "partial 16S ribosomal RNA". It matches the Rfam family "Bacterial small subunit ribosomal RNA", at positions 28 to 507 of the family's 1533-position model. The record is from RNAcentral.
GAUGAACGCUGGCGGCGUGCUUAACACAUGCAAGUCGAACGAGCAGUGGAGACGGAAACCUUCGGGCGGAAGACUGUAUUUCGAGUGGCGGACGGGGGAGUAACGCGUGGGUAACCUGCGUCAUACAGGGGGAUAACAGUUGGAAACGACUGUUAAUACCGCAUAAGAUCACAGCACCGCAUGGUGCGGGGGUGACAACUCCGGUAGUCUGAGACGGACCCGCGUACGAUUAGCCAGUUGUCGGGGUAACGGCCCACCACAGCGACGAGCGGUAGCCGAGCUGAGAGGAUGAGCGGCCACACUGAGGGUGAGACACGGUCGAGAAUCCUCCGGGAAGGAGCAGUGGGGAAUAUUGCACAAUGGGGGGAGUGAUGAAGCAGUGACGCCGGUUGAGUGAAGAAGUAUUGCAGUAUGUAAAGCUCUAUAAGCAGGGAAGGAAAUGACGGUACCUGAGCAAGAAGCCCCGGCUAACUACGUG